Long non-coding RNA from Chenopodium quinoa (quinoa), 584 nucleotides. RefSeq lists it as uncharacterized. The record is from RefSeq and is a predicted model, not a curated record. NCBI's taxonomy places the organism in Eukaryota, Viridiplantae, Streptophyta, Magnoliopsida, Caryophyllales, Amaranthaceae. The transcript has 3 exons.
UUCAAAUUUCCAAAAACACAACAGGACAAAGGUAAAUGGUCUUUACAUGUGUAUAGAUUUAUAAUGUUCAUUAUCAAUAUACUAAAUGAUCAUUCAUAAUUCAAUAUUUAUUCAGUGACAGAGAGAAGACUUUGGAAAGAAAAAAAUCAAGAGAAGCUGAGAAGGCAAAAACUGAGAUUGCAAAGGAAAAAGAGAUAAGGCCACAAAGGGAAAUCCCAAAUGUUCCUCUUGCUUUCCGAUCUCCAUACAUGGUCAAGUACAAGGAUUUGUUCAAAGAUGAAGACACAAUGAACAAACUUGUAACAGACUAUGCUUAUAGUGGAAAAGAUCAAAGUGAGCUACUAUACUAUGAUGGAGUGAAUUCGAUCAAUAGGGAAGAGAUGAAAACUCUUGAAGGGGAUACAUUAGUAGUUAACAAUGUGAUCGAUUCAUGGGCAGUACUUCUGAAUCAAAAAAGGUCAAAGAACAAGUUAUACUUUUCAACAUUUCCACAUGUAAGUCUUUAUUGAAAUUACACAUGUAUACAUUGGUGUACUAAAAUGAUCAAUUCACUUAUACUAGAUGAUCAUUAUGAAUAUUAAAAU